GACAUCAACCGAGACUCCGUUAGUAGUGGCGAGCGAACGCGGACCAGGCCAGUGGCCGAUUUGUAAAAACUAGAAUUGUCUGGAAAGGCAAGCCAUAGUGGGUGAUAGCCCCGUAUAGGUAAAAAGCAGAUCGGUCCUCGAGUAAGGCGGAACACGUGAAAUUCUGUCUGAACGUGGGGGGACCACCCUCCAAGCCUAAGUACUCCUUAGUGACCGAUAGUGAACAAGUACCGUGAGGGAAAGGUGAAAAGCACCCCGACAAGGGGAGUGAAACAGAUCCUGAAAUCGGAAGCCUACAAGCAGUCGGAGCCUCCACGCGAGGUGACGGCGUACCUUUUGUAUAAUGGGUCAGCGACUUCAUGUGUCGAGCAAGCUUAAGCCGUUAGGUGUAGGCGCAGCGAAAGCGAGUCUGAAUAGGGCGCUAAGUUCGACGUAUGACGACCCGAAACCAGGUGAUCUAUCCAUGAGCAGGUUGAAGGUUGGGUAACACCAACUGGAGGACCGAACCCGUGAAUGUUGAAAAAUUCUGGGAUGACUUGUGGAUAGGGGUGAAAGGCCAAUCAAACCUGGACAUAGCUGGUUCUCCGCGAAAUCUAUUUAGGUAGAGCGUCCGACGAAUUCCUUGGGGGGUAGAGCACUGGAUGGUUGCGGGCUGCGCGAGCGGUACCAAUACUAACCAAACUCCGAAUACCCAAGAGAACUAUCGGGCAGACACACGGCGGGUGCUAACGUCCGUCGUGAAAAGGGAAACAACCCUAACCAUCAUCUAAGGCCCCCAAGUCACGGCUAAGUGGGAAACGAUGUGGGAUUGCUUUGACAAUCAGGAGGUUGGCUUAGAAGCAGCCAUCCUUUAAAGAAAGCGUAACAGCUCACUGAUCUAAAUAAGCCGUCCUGCGCCGAAGAUGUACCGGGGCUCAAACUAUCCACCGAAGCUGCGGGUGUAUGAUUUCUUCGGAUUUCAUACGCGGUAGCGGAGCGUUCCGUAGGCCUGUGAAGGUGUCUCGCGAGAGAUGCUGGAGGUAUCGGAAGUGCGAAUGCUGACAUGAGUAGCGAUAAAGAGUGUGAGAAACACUCUCGCCGAAAGUCCAAGGGUUCCUGCGCAAGGCUAAUCCGCGCAGGGUGAGCCGGCCCCUAAGCCGAGGCCGAAAGGCGUAGGCGAUGGGAACCAGGUUAAUAUUCCUGGGCCUGCUGGAUGUGACGGAGGCCGAAAGCCGUAUCUUCUUAUUGGAUUGAGGAUGCGGCCUGGGACUCCCAGGAAAUAGCACCAGCAUAAAGACCGUACCCCAAACCGACACAGGUGGACAGGUAGAGCAUACCAAGGCGCUUGAGAGAACGGUGUUGAAGGAACUAGGCAAAAUACCCCCGUAACUUCGGGAGAAGGGGGACCUCCAUUUGGGCAACCAGAUGGGGGUGGCACAGACCAGGGGGUGGCGACUGUUUACUAAAAACAUAGGUCUCUGCGAAGUCGUAAGACGACGUAUAGGGACUGACGCCUGCCCGGUGCUGGAAGGUUAAGGAGAGGGGUGCAAGCUCUGAACCGAAGCCCCAGUAAACGGCGGCCGUAACUAUAACGGUCCUAAGGUAGCGAAAUUCCUUGUCGGGUAAGUUCCGACCUGCACGAAUGGCGUAACGACUGCCCCGCUGUCUCCAACACCGACUCAGCGAAAUUGAACUCUGAGUUAAGAUGCUCAGUACCCGCGAUCAGACGGAAAGACCCCGUGCACCUUUACUAUAGCUUUGCAGUGGUAUUAGUGGACGAAUGUGUAGGAUAGGCGGGAGGCUUUGAAGCAGUGGCGCCAGUCAUUGUGGAGCCGCCCUUGAAAUACCGCCCUUUUAUUUUCUGAUAUCUAACCGAGGCCCGUUAUCCGGGUCCGGGACCCUGCAUGGUGGGUAGUUUGACUGGGGCGGUCGCCUCCUAAAGAGUAACGGAGGCGCGCGAAGGUAGGCUCAAGCUGGUCGGAAAUCAGCUGUUGAGUGCAAUGGCAUAAGCCUGCCUGACUGCGAGACUGACAAGUCGAGCAGAGACGAAAGUCGGUCAUAGUGAUCCGGUGGUCCCGCGUGGAAGGGCCAUCGCUCAACGGAUAAAAGGUACGCCGGGGAUAACAGGCUGAUACCGCCCAAGAGUCCAUAUCGACGGCGGUGUUUGGCACCUCGAUGUCGCCCUAUAGUGAGUCGUAUAGAUCGGAAGAGCACACGUCUGAACUCCAGUCACACGCAACAUCUCGUAUG
This 2229-nucleotide ribosomal RNA is filed under the name seawater metagenome. RNAcentral's name for it is "bacterial LSU rRNA". It matches the Rfam family "Bacterial large subunit ribosomal RNA", at positions 221 to 2600 of the family's 2925-position model. The record is from RNAcentral.